AGUUGAGUAACCUUUACUGUUUAAGGCACUGUUUACACACGUGCCAGUCUGUUCUUCAACAGAGCUUCUGGCUAGAAAGAUGUGCCAAGGUCAUGAGCCCUGUUGGCUGCCAGGGGGGGACCCUGAACCACACUCAGCCAUUCUCCUCAGAACACCCGCUUCCUCAUUCUUCCACUUCCUGUUCUCCUUGCCUGUUUGCUCGUGACUCCAGUCCCUUCCUUUCCUGUGUUCCUGACUGAGCCUUCAGUAUGCCCGUGCCCAUGGUCAGUGCACGCUUGGCUUUGUCUCGGUCUUUCACCUUGGGUCUGCUCUGUGACUCUUCAUCACAUCUGUCCCUUCUAUUCUGGGGUUCUGCAAGUGGUCUUCAGCAUGUAACUCCCUUGAGCUCAGGCUAGCCUGGAACCCCCAGUCUCUAUUACCUGCCCAUCAGGAGCUCCCUUGCACCAAGUCUUUGUUUUCUUCAGGGGUAGGACUUCGGUGAUCUGAUUCCCUUUCUUUACCUUGGAUUUUACAUAAAGGCCUGUUUCUGUGUGAUUUGUUGUUGUUGUCCUUUGUUUGUUUUUGCAGUACUGGGGAUUAAGCCCGGGACUUUCACCCUGAGCUACAUCCCGAGUGGUUUAAAUUUUUUUUUUUUUACUAGGAGGCAUGUUUUCCUUAAGUCACUGAGUUGCCCAGGCUGGUCUCACACUUGAAAUCUUCCUGCCCCAAUCUUCCAGAGUGCUGAGAUUACAGGCCUGCACUACCAUGCCUGUCUGAAGUCCUGAAUUUCUUUGAGAGAGAAAGAAAUUUUGCUGGGAUUUAAAAUAUGAAUAAAAAAUCUGAUAAAACUACAAAAAAGAGAGAAAAGACAAAAAGGACUGUUGUAAAAAUAAGACGCUUUGAAGAAUAUGAAGCAGAUGUUGUGCUGGAAGCUAGUAUGUUCUAUAGUACCACCUGUGCCCACUUAAUUCCAUCAAAAUAAUUUCCCCCAGUAACCAUGAAGAAAGAUUUAAGAAUAUAUGGUGGGGGCAGGGAAAGAAAGCGAGAAUAAAGGCGGUAGCUCAGAUGUGGAGUUCAUCUGCAAAUGGGGAUAACAAUUUACAGCCAGUGGAUGCUUCUGGUCUGUGAUUUAAGGUAUGGUUUCUUUGUCCUGGAGCUUGACUUGUUAGUCAGAUCACCAUGCAAAACUAUUCCACAUGUGUAUGUCUUAAGUGAGAAUUUAUAUGUGCUACUGCUUGUCUAUCUGCCCAUCUACCCAUCUAUCUACCUACCUUCCUACUUAUCUAUAUGAUUUGGUUAACAAUAUGGUAUAGUAGAAGGACAACUUUUUAAAUGAAAAUAGUCAAUGACAAUUUCUUUGUUCUUCCAGCAACUACCUUUCUCUCUUUUCUUUUCUUUUCUUUUCCAUAUAUUUCAUAGUAUUUCCAUGGUUCUCAGUCCAUCUCAGAUGAUAUUGCUUAACCCUUUCCUUGAAGGAAUUUGCUUAUUUUCUGGUGCAACUCUUACGUUAUUAUUCCAAGUGAAGUGCACUGCCAG
RNAcentral lists this long non-coding RNA (1515 nucleotides) under Heterocephalus glaber (naked mole-rat). Its description in RNAcentral is "lncRNA (ENSHGLG00000042765.1)". The record is from RNAcentral. Lineage: Eukaryota; Metazoa; Chordata; Mammalia; Rodentia; Bathyergidae.